GGUUAAGCGACUAAGCGUACACGGUGGAUGCCCUGGCAGUCAGAGGCGAUGAAGGGCGUGCUAAUCUGCGAUAAGCGCCGGUAAGGUGAUAUGAACCGUUAUAACCGGCGAUACCCGAAUGGGGAAACCCAGUGUGACUCGUCACACUAUCAUUAACUGAAUCCAUAGGUUAAUGAGGCGAACCGGGGGAACUGAAACAUCUAAGUACCCCGAGGAAAAGAAAUCAACCGAGAUUCCCCCAGUAGCGGCGAGCGAACGGGGAGGAGCCCAGAGCCUGAAUCAGCAUGUGUGUUAGUGGAAGCGUCUGGAAAGGCGCGCGAUACAGGGUGACAGCCCCGUACACAAAAGCGCAUGUGCUGUGAGCUCGAUGAGUAGGGCGGGACACGUGGUAUCCUGUCUGAAUAUGGGGGGACCAUCCUCCAAGGCUAAAUACUCCUGACUGACCGAUAGUGAACCAGUACCGUGAGGGAAAGGCGAAAAGAACCCCGGCGAGGGGAGUGAAAAAGAACCUGAAACCGUGUACGUACAAGCAGUGGGAGCACCCUUUGGGUGUGACUGCGUACCUUUUGUAUAAUGGGUCAGCGACUUAUAUUCUGUAGCAAGGUUAACCGAAUAGGGGAGCCGGAGGGAAACCGAGUCUUAACCGGGCGUUAAGUUGCAGGGUAUAGACCCGAAACCCGGUGAUCUAGCCAUGGGCAGGUUGAAGGUUGGGUAACACUAACUGGAGGACCGAACCGACUAAUGUUGAAAAAUUAGCGGAUGACCUGUGGCUGGGGGUGAAAGGCCAAUCAAACCGGGAGAUAGCUGGUUCUCCCCGAAAGCUAUUUAGGUAGCGCCUCGUGAAUUCAUCUCCGGGGGUAGAGCACUGUUUCGGCUAGGGGGCCAUCCCGGCUUACCAACCCGAUGCAAACUGCGAAUACCGGAGAAUGUUAUCACGGGAGACACACGGCGGGUGCUAACGUCCGUCGUGAAGAGGGAAACAACCCAGACCGCCAGCUAAGGUCCCAAAGUCAUGGUUAAGUGGGAAACGAUGUGGGAAGGCCCAGACAGCCAGGAUGUUGGCUUAGAAGCAGCCAUCAUUUAAAGAAAGCGUAAUAGCUCACUGGUCGAGUCGGCCUGCGCGGAAGAUGUAACGGGGCUAAACCAUGCACCGAAGCUGCGGCAGCGACACUGUGUGUUGUUGGGUAGGGGAGCGUUCUGUAAGCCUGUGAAGGUGUGUCGUGAGGCAUGCUGGAGGUAUCAGAAGUGCGAAUGCUGACAUAAGUAACGAUAAAGCGGGUGAAAAGCCCGCUCGCCGGAAGACCAAGGGUUCCUGUCCAACGUUAAUCGGGGCAGGGUGAGUCGACCCCUAAGGCGAGGCCGAAAGGCGUAGUCGAUGGGAAACGGGUUAAUAUUCCCGUACUUGGUGUUACUGCGAAGGGGGGACGGAGAAGGCUAUGUUGGCCGGGCGACGGUUGUCCCGGUUUAAGCGUGUAGGUGUGUGUUCCAGGUAAAUCCGGUUCACUUUAACACUGAGGCGUGACGACGAGGCACUACGGUGCUGAAGCAACAAAUGCCCUGCUUCCAGGAAAAGCCUCUAAGCAUCAGGUAACAUCAAAUCGUACCCCAAACCGACACAGGUGGUCAGGUAGAGAAUACCAAGGCGCUUGAGAGAACUCGGGUGAAGGAACUAGGCAAAAUGGUGCCGUAACUUCGGGAGAAGGCACGCUGACACGUAGGUGAAGUGAUUUACUCAUGGAGCUGAAGUCAGUCGAAGAUACCAGCUGGCUGCAACUGUUUAUUAAAAACACAGCACUGUGCAAACACGAAAGUGGACGUAUACGGUGUGACGCCUGCCCGGUGCCGGAAGGUUAAUUGAUGGGGUCAGCGCAAGCGAAGCUCCUGAUCGAAGCCCCGGUAAACGGCGGCCGUAACUAUAACGGUCCUAAGGUAGCGAAAUUCCUUGUCGGGUAAGUUCCGACCUGCACGAAUGGCGUAAUGAUGGCCAGGCUGUCUCCACCCGAGACUCAGUGAAAUUGAACUCGCUGUGAAGAUGCAGUGUACCCGCGGCAAGACGGAAAGACCCCGUGAACCUUUACUAUAGCUUGACACUGAACAUUGAGCCUUGAUGUGUAGGAUAGGUGGGAGGCUUUGAAGUGUGGACGCCAGUCUGCAUGGAGCCGACCUUGAAAUACCACCCUUUAAUGUUUGAUGUUCUAACGUGGACCCGUUACCCGGGUUGCGGACAGUGUCUGGUGGGUAGUUUGACUGGGGCGGUCUCCUCCUAAAGAGUAACGGAGGAGCACGAAGGUUGGCUAAUCCUGGUCGGACAUCAGGAGGUUAGUGCAAUGGCAUAAGCCAGCUUGACUGCGAGCGUGACGGCGCGAGCAGGUGCGAAAGCAGGUCAUAGUGAUCCGGUGGUUCUGAAUGGAAGGGCCAUCGCUCAACGGAUAAAAGGUACUCCGGGGAUAACAGGCUGAUACCGCCCAAGAGUUCAUAUCGACGGCGGUGUUUGGCACCUCGAUGUCGGCUCAUCACAUCCUGGGGCUGAAGUAGGUCCCAAGGGUAUGGCUGUUCGCCAUUUAAAGUGGUACGCGAGCUGGGUUUAGAACGUCGUGAGACAGUUCGGUCCCUAUCUGCCGUGGGCGCUGGAGAACUGAGGGGGGCUGCUCCUAGUACGAGAGGACCGGAGUGGACGCAUCACUGGUGUUCGGGUUGUCAUGCCAAUGGCACUGCCCGGUAGCUAAAUGCGGAAGAGAUAAGUGCUGAAAGCAUCUAAGCACGAAACUUGCCCCGAGAUGAGUUCUCC
This 2788-nucleotide ribosomal RNA is filed under the name Salmonella enterica subsp. enterica serovar Enteritidis. Its description in RNAcentral is "partial 23S ribosomal RNA". It matches the Rfam family "Bacterial large subunit ribosomal RNA". Lineage: Bacteria; Pseudomonadati; Pseudomonadota; Gammaproteobacteria; Enterobacterales; Enterobacteriaceae. The record is from RNAcentral.